This 90-nucleotide transfer RNA is filed under the name Bacteroidota bacterium. Its description in RNAcentral is "Bacteroidetes bacterium (hydrothermal vent metagenome) tRNA-Ser". It matches the Rfam family "tRNA". From Rfam's summary of the family: Transfer RNA (tRNA) molecules are approximately 80 nucleotides in length. Their secondary structure includes four short double-helical elements and three loops (D, anti-codon, and T loops). Further hydrogen bonds mediate the characteristic L-shaped molecular structure. tRNAs have two regions of fundamental functional importance: the anti-codon, which is responsible for specific mRNA codon recognition, and the 3' end, to which the tRNAs corresponding amino acid is attached (by aminoacyl-tRNA synthetases). tRNAs cope with the degeneracy of the genetic code in two manners: having more than one tRNA (with a specific anti-codon) for a particular amino acid; and 'wobble' base-pairing, i.e. permitting non-standard base-pairing at the 3rd anti-codon position. Lineage: Bacteria; Pseudomonadati; Bacteroidota. The record is from RNAcentral.
GGAGAGGUGUCCGAGAGGCUGAAGGAGCACGCUUGGAAAGCGUGUGUCCCGUUAGAAGCGGGACCGUGGGUUCGAAUCCCACCCUCUCCG